GGUGAUGUAGCUCACUGGUAGAGCAUGCGCUUAGUACGUAUGAUGCCCUGGGUUCCAUCCCCCGCACCUCCA
RNAcentral lists this transfer RNA (72 nucleotides) under Urocitellus parryii (Arctic ground squirrel). RNAcentral's name for it is "Spermophilus parryii (Arctic ground squirrel) tRNA". It matches the Rfam family "tRNA". From Rfam's summary of the family: Transfer RNA (tRNA) molecules are approximately 80 nucleotides in length. Their secondary structure includes four short double-helical elements and three loops (D, anti-codon, and T loops). The record is from Rfam by way of RNAcentral. RNAcentral also lists the same sequence under 1 other name. Lineage: Eukaryota; Metazoa; Chordata; Mammalia; Rodentia; Sciuridae.